This is a long non-coding RNA of Mauremys mutica (yellowpond turtle), 732 nucleotides long. RefSeq lists it as uncharacterized. Lineage: Eukaryota; Metazoa; Chordata; Testudines; Geoemydidae. The transcript has 3 exons. The record is from RefSeq and is a predicted model, not a curated record.
UCGGGGGGCAGGAGGGGUCUAUUUAAGCACCCGUGAAAGGCAAAAGUUUUGUCAACAACUUGGCAGUGUAGAGAAAGCCUAAGAAUUGAUGCCAUGUCCUGGAGAGUGCCUCUUUCUCUUCUACGGAAUCCACAGUCAAAAAAGAAAUCUCCAUCAACAAGAAACCAGCAGAUGUCAGCAGAGGCUAGAUAUUUAGGGCCAGAAGCUCUAAAGAGCUCAGCACUCACAAUCAGGAGCCAGACGUUCAAAGGAGCUCAAGCUCCCAUUUCAGCAUCAAGCAUCCUGUGAUGUGGGGAAGUAUCUUGAUCCAUUUUACAGAUGGGGAAUGGAGUCAGAGAGAUUAAGACCCUGAUUCAGGAAGGUACUUAAGCAUUUGCGUACGAGUGGUUGCUGCCAGACAAGGAAUGAGUGACUAAGCCAGUAACUGAACCCAAAGUUUCUUAAGUCACAGGGCAGCCACAACAAUGAAGUCUGUUGUCGCCAGUCUGAGCUGGUUCAGAACACAUGCAUGUGUGCUUUUUAUACACACUAACCACAGGAAGCAAGUCUGCACACAUCUGCAAGAGUCCCAUGCAAACGAAAGAAACAUUCCAGAAGAGAUCAGCCACAAGAGUGCAACAAUGAAAUUCAGUAUUUUACCAAAUGAAAUCCUACUGCCUCCUAAAUCUCCACCUGCGUCACAGAACUUUACUGGGAAAGAGGGCCAUUACAUAUCAAGAUUUCUCCAGUUCA